AUGCAGGUCAGGAGUGCUGCGGGGACCAUGGUGAGAAUGAAAACAAAAGGUAUGUUUCAAAUAAGCCAGCUAUAAAGUAUUGUGCUAAAUGUGUAUUGUACUGCUGUUUUAUAUAAGGAAUCAUACUAAAUUAAAUAUGAAAUGUAUAUUAUAAAUAAUAAUUUAAGGAAUCAUACUGCAGUGAGGACCAAUGAUGAGAGGCUGUGGGACAGUGAUGUUGGCUGGAUGCUGGUAGGUGGAGGAGCAGUCAUGUUUGCUGGGUUCUGGUAGGUGGAGGAUUAGUGUUGGCUGAGUGCUGGUAGGUGGAGGAUUAGUGUUGGCUGGGUGCUGGUAGGUGGAGGAUCAGUGUUGGCUGGGUGCUGGUAGGUGGAUGUUGAAGCUUGGCUACUGUUGGUCCUUUUCAUCUUUUUAGAUUGGCUCUUGCUUCCAAGAUGUCCAUCUUUUAAGUGUUGUUUUUUUCUGUCAUUUCGUAUUUUUUUAGCCUCAAUCCUCAACCUCAGCCAUAUAAAUCUUUUGGAGAUUUUUUCUUCUACUCCACAGCAUGAUGGAAGCCUGCUGGAGAGUGACUGAGCUUCUUUCUCCAAGACAUCCACUGCAUUGGGGAGCUCCAUGAGGAUUGUCAUCAGUGUGCCGUAUUGCAGUUUUGCAUUUUCCACAGAUGCUGGCAAAUCUGAUUAAUUUGUGGACAAUGUAGCCUGCAAGAUGGAAGAGAAUACAUUUCUCAGUUUUGGAAGUCUGCCAAAAAGCUACUGUCAUAUUCCUGGUAGCUCCCAGACCUGAUGGUGGUGAGGAACUGCCCUACUGAUAUAAUUCUCAGUGCAUGAUAGAAUUCCACUGGAGUUGGUAUGGGAUUUUUAGACCUCACACAGCUGAAUGUAUUUUCAAGGCAGUCUUGUGUGAACCUUGAAGUUAACACAAACCUGUGUCCUCGUGUCAGCAUCUCUUCCUGUAUGCCCAAAACUGAUUUUGUUGCCAUUAUCACCCCUUUUUGAACAGGUUUCCAAACUCCCUUAUGACCAAUCUUCAUCCCAUGGAACAGAUGGAUGAUAUCCUGUAGGAAGAUGAUGGCCUUUUCAUACUCCUCUAUCUUGACCCUGCUCAGUGCUGUAAUUGGAUGGCGAGAUGACAUUAGAUCAAACCAAUGAUCCACUUACUCCAGGAACCAUGCUGUAGUCAGGUAGGAGAGAGGGCGGUUUUCUUGCUGCACCAUAUACUUCAGCCCAGCAAUUGUUGCCUUACUAAAAACAUUAAGAGCAGGACCAACCUUCAUUUUUUCAAAGUGGCUUGGCUCUAUGGCUGCAGCUGAUAGAUGGGGAGCCACUUUUAAUGCCAUCCCUUCUUGAAAGGACAAUAAGUCCUUAAUAGGGACCACUGAAACCUUGUUGGAAUGUAGGUUCUCUUUGUUAACCACAUUCUCUGGAAUUGUUAACACCUGUCCACGGACAAGGGCACUUUUUAGAUUUUUUACCAGAUGUGGGACAUCAGGCAUGAAAUAGAGAUUACUACCUGGUGUUGUUGGAUGUGGCACAGAUUAGGGCUACCCAUAUCGGUGGUGACAGCAAGCACAUGUAGCCCUAUGGAUGCUGCCCUCUCUCUUAUUUAGGUAAUUAUUGGCUUGUACUCUGCUCCAUUGGUAGAAUUACCGCUGUAAUGAUAUGCCACUACUUGUUUCCACCGAGUGGUGUUUCCAGCCAACAUAAACACACAAGCAUGUGUUGCUACUCCUGUGUGACCUGGCAAAGUGACAUCACCAUAGAGUUUGCCUGUGAGCAUGUGCAGCUCCACACUUGGAGUGAUUGCCAUUUCAUCCAAGGACAGCACACACUCCCUUUCAAGGUCUGCCAAUCCAUCUACCUUCAGUUUUAAAAAAUCAAA
Molecule: long non-coding RNA, 1875 nt
Organism: Xyrauchen texanus (razorback sucker)
Lineage: Eukaryota; Metazoa; Chordata; Actinopteri; Cypriniformes; Catostomidae
Exons: 3
Source: RefSeq, a predicted model, not a curated record